GACGAACGCUGGCGGCGUGCUUAACACAUGCAAGUCGAACGGAAAGGCCCUGCUUUUGUGGGGUGCUCGAGUGGCGAACGGGUGAGUAACACGUGAGUAACCUGCCCUUGACUUUGUGAUAACUUCAGGAAACUGGGGCUAAUACCGGAUAGGAGCUCCUGCUGCAUGGUGGGGGUUGGAAAGAUUCGGCGGUUGGGGAUGGACUCGCGGCUUAUCAGCUUGUUGGUGGGGUAGUGGCUUACCAAGGCUUUGACGGGUAGCCGGCCUGAGAGGGUGACCGGCCACAAUGGGACUGAGAUACGGCCCAGACUCCUACGGGAGGCAGCAGUGGGGAAUAUUGCACAAUGGGCGGAAGCCUGAUGCAGCAACGCCGCGUGCGGGAUGACGGCCUUCGGGUUGUAAACCGCUUUCGCCUGUGACGAAGCGUGAGUGACGGUAAUGGGUAAAGAAGCAACGGCUAACUACGUG
This 468-nucleotide ribosomal RNA is filed under the name uncultured bacterium. RNAcentral describes it as "partial 16S ribosomal RNA". It matches the Rfam family "Bacterial small subunit ribosomal RNA", at positions 28 to 507 of the family's 1533-position model. The record is from RNAcentral.